CGGGGUGCACCAGGCGCGAAAACUUUACAAUGCUGGCAACAGCGAUAAGGGGACCUCGAGUGCCAGGAUACAAUCUUGGCUGUCGCGAUGCCUAAAAAGCAUUGCAUAGCAAGGGCCGGGCAAGACCGGUGCCAGCCGCCGCGGUAACACCGGCGGCUCGAGUGGUAACCGCUAUUAUUGGGUCUAAAGGGUCUGUAGCCGGCCGGAUAAGUCUCUUGGGAAAUCCAGCUGCUCAACAGUUGGGCUUUCAGGAGAUACUGUUCGGCUCGAGACCGGGAGAGGUGAGAGGUACUUCAGGGGUAGGGGUGAAAUCUUGUAAUCCUUGAAGGACCACCAGUGGCGAAGGCGUCUCACCAGAACGGAUCUGACGGCAAGGGACGAAAGCUAGGGGCACGAACCGGAUUAGAUACCCGGGUAGUCCUAGCCGUAAACGAUACUCGCUAGGUGUCAGCCACGGUGCGACCGUGGUUGGUGCCGUAGGGAAGCCGUGAAGCGAGCCACCUGGGAAGUACGGCCGCAAGGCUGAAACUUAAAGGAAUGG
Molecule: ribosomal RNA, 541 nt
Filed under: uncultured archaeon
Lineage: Archaea
Description: bacterial SSU rRNA
Rfam family: Archaeal small subunit ribosomal RNA
Source: RNAcentral